GGAACCUCAAUCAACUCGAAUUGCAUGGCGAUGAUCUACCAGUAGAGGAAGAAGUCACUGAAUCUGUACAUACGAAUGCAAACACGAAUAUCCAAGUGCAAGCUGCUUAGUAAGAGUAGGCAUUUUUAAUGGUGUAAAUAUGUAUUUUGCCUGUCAUUGUAAGAGAGAAGAAUGUAUUGGACCGAGCAUACCAAAAGUAGCUAAGGAUACCUGUAUUUCACAUUGAAAUUAAAACUGCUAGUAUGAGCAAAUUUACCUCAAGGUUUCUCUUUGUAAUGCACGUAUAAUUAUAUAUGGGCAAGUUGUUUAACCUUCCCUUUGCAAGAAGAUGGGGUUACUUUGUUUUCAUAUUUGGUCUUGCCUCCCAGCACAAGAUUUU
RNAcentral lists this long non-coding RNA (379 nucleotides) under Citrus maxima (pomelo). RNAcentral's name for it is "long non-coding RNA (CMAX_LNC003599)". Lineage: Eukaryota; Viridiplantae; Streptophyta; Magnoliopsida; Sapindales; Rutaceae. The record is from RNAcentral.